RNAcentral lists this ribosomal RNA (457 nucleotides) under uncultured bacterium. Its description in RNAcentral is "bacterial SSU rRNA". It matches the Rfam family "Bacterial small subunit ribosomal RNA", at positions 340 to 789 of the family's 1533-position model. The record is from RNAcentral.
UACGGAAGGCAGCAGGGGGGAAUAUUGCACAAUGGGCGCAAGCCUGAUGCAGCCAUGCCGCGUGUAUGAAAAAGGCCUUCGGGUUGUAAAGUACUUUCAGUCGUGAGGAAGGUGUUAAGGUUAAUAACCUUAGCAAUUGACGUUAGCGACAGAAGAAGCACCGGCUAACUCCGUGCCAGCAGCCGCGGUAAUACGGAGGGUGCGAGCGUUAAUCGGAAUUACUGGGCGUAAAGGGCACGCAGGCGGUUAAUUAAGUUGGAUGUGAAAUCCCCGGGCUUAACCUGGGAAUGGCAUUCAAGACUGGUUAGCUAGAGUCUUGUAGAGGGGGUUAGAAUUCCAUGUGUAGCGGUGAAAUGCGUAGAGAUGUGGAGGAAUACCGGUGGCGAAGGCGGCCCCUGGACAAAGACUGACGCUCAUGUGCGAAAGCGUGGGGAGCAAACAGGGAUUAGAUACCCGU